CCUACUGGAGACAUCAUUGAGGCAUCUUGGUCAAUGGACGCAAGUCUGAACCAGCCAUGCCGCGUGCAGUCCUCCUUCUCUCUUCUUUUUCCCCUUCUUUUUUCCUCUUUUCCACUCCUCUCCUCUUAUCUGUCUGAAAGUAUCGUACGAAUAAUUAUCUUCUAACUCCUUGCCAGCCUCCUCUGUAAUACUUCUGAUUCACGCGUUAUCCGGAGUUAUUGUGUUUAAAGGGUGCGUAGGCGGUCGGAUAAGUUAGAGGUGAAAUCCCGAGGAUCAACUUAGGAAUUGCCUUGGAUAAUGUUCGGCUAGAGAGUAGUUGCGGUAGGCGGAAUGUAUGGUGUAGCGGUGAAAUGCUUAGAGAUAAUAAAGAACACAGAUUGAGAAGGCAGAUUAAAAAGAUACUUAUGAAGUUGAGGAAAGAAAGAGGGGGGAGAAAACAGGAGGAGAGAAAAAGGGAGUC
RNAcentral lists this ribosomal RNA (460 nucleotides) under uncultured bacterium. RNAcentral's name for it is "partial 16S ribosomal RNA". It matches the Rfam family "Bacterial small subunit ribosomal RNA", at positions 338 to 795 of the family's 1533-position model. The record is from RNAcentral.